GCCUAGCCGUAAAAAAUUAAUUCACAACAACAAGCGCCAGGGUAUUACGAGUGCAAACUUAAAAUCCAAAGGAUUUGACGGUGUCCCACCCACCUAGAGGAGCCUGUUCUAUAAUCGAUAAUCCUCGAUAUACCUCACCAUUUCUUGCUACUCAGUCUGUAUACCUCCGUCGUAAGCUUACCAUUUGAAUGCAAAAAAGUAAGUUUAAUGAUUAUUCAUCAACACGUCAGGUCAAGGUGCAACCAAUGAAACGGGAAGCAAUGGGCUACAAUCUCUAUAAUAGAACACACGAAAUACUACAUGAAAAACAGUCAUGAAGGCGGAUUUAGUAGUAAAAGAAGAACAGCGUGCUUCUUUAAACAAGGCUCUGGGACGUGUACAAACCGCCCGUCACCCUCUUCAAUAGCAUAACUCAAUUCAUAAUUACCAAAAGCAUCUUAGAAGAGGCAAGUCGUAACAUGGUAAGUCUACUGGAAAGUGCACUUGGCAAAU
This 492-nucleotide ribosomal RNA is filed under the name Guibemantis liber. RNAcentral describes it as "partial 12S ribosomal RNA". It matches the Rfam family "Bacterial small subunit ribosomal RNA", at positions 794 to 1521 of the family's 1533-position model. Lineage: Eukaryota; Metazoa; Chordata; Amphibia; Anura; Mantellidae. The record is from RNAcentral.